CCCGUUAUCCGGGUUGCGGACAGUGUCUGGUGGGUAGUUUGACUGGGGCGGUCUCCUCCUAAAGAGUAACGGAGGAGCACGAAGGUUGGCUAAUCCUGGUCGGACAUCAGGAGGUUAGUGCAAUGGCAUAAGCCAGCUUGACUGCGAGCGUGACGGCGCGAGCAGGUGCGAAAGCAGGUCAUAGUGAUCCGGUGGUUCUGAAUGGAAGGGCCAUCGCUCAACGGAUAAAAGGUACUCCGGGGAUAACAGGCUGAUACCGCCCAAGAGUUCAUAUCGACGGCGGUGUUUGGCACCUCGAUGUCGGCUCAUCACAUCCUGGGGCUGAAGUAGGUCCCAAGGGUAUGGCUGUUCGCCAUUUAAAGUGGUACGCGAGCUGGGUUUAGAACGUCGUGAGACAGUUCGGUCCCUAUCUGCCGUGGGCGCUGGAGAACUGAGGGGGGCUGCUCCUAGUACGAGAGGACCGGAGUGGACGCAUCACUGGUGUUCGGGUUGUCAUGCCAAUGGCACUGCCCGGUAGCUAAAUGCGGAAGAGAUAAGUGCUGAAAGCAUCUAAGCACGAAACUUGCCCCGAGAUGAGUUCUCCCUGACUCCCUGAGAGUCCUGAAGGAACGUUGAAGACGACGACGUUGAUA
This 632-nucleotide ribosomal RNA is filed under the name Escherichia coli. RNAcentral describes it as "partial 23S ribosomal RNA". It matches the Rfam family "Bacterial large subunit ribosomal RNA", at positions 2232 to 2858 of the family's 2925-position model. Lineage: Bacteria; Pseudomonadati; Pseudomonadota; Gammaproteobacteria; Enterobacterales; Enterobacteriaceae. The record is from RNAcentral.